This 200-nucleotide ribosomal RNA is filed under the name uncultured Glomus. RNAcentral describes it as "partial small subunit ribosomal RNA". It matches the Rfam family "Eukaryotic small subunit ribosomal RNA", at positions 591 to 798 of the family's 1831-position model. The record is from RNAcentral. Lineage: Eukaryota; Fungi; Glomeromycota; Glomeromycetes; Glomerales; Glomeraceae.
CCAAUAGCGUAUAUUAAAGUUGUUGCAGUUAAAAAGCUCGUAGUUGGAUUUCGGGACUAAUAUGUCGGUCGUACUUUGUACGUACUAGCAUUAUUGGUUUCUCCCUUCUGACGAACCACGAUGUCAUUAAUUUGGUGUCGCGGGAAAUCAGGACUGUUACUUUGAAAAAGUUAGAGUGUUUAAAGCAAGCUCGCGCUUGA